Molecule: ribosomal RNA, 497 nt
Filed under: uncultured bacterium
Lineage: Bacteria
Description: partial 16S ribosomal RNA
Rfam family: Bacterial small subunit ribosomal RNA
Source: RNAcentral
GAUGAACGCUGGCGGCGUGCCUAAUACAUGCAAGUCGAGCGAACAGAUGAGGCGCUUGCUCCUCUGACGUUAGCGGCGGACGGGUGAGUAACACGUGGAUAACCUACCUAUAAGACUGGGAUAACUUCGGGAAACCGGAUCUAAUACCGGAUAAUAUAUUGAACCGCAUGGUUCAAUAGUGAAAGACGGUUUUGCUGUCACUUAUAGAUGGAUCCGCGCCGCAUUAGCUAGUUGGUAAGGUAACGGCUUACCAAGGCAACGAUGCGUAGCCGACCUGAGAGGGUGAUCGGCCACACUGGAGCUGAGACACGGUCCAGACUCCUAAGGGAGGCAGCAGUAGGGAAUCUGCCGCAAUGGGCGAAAGCCUGGCGGAGCAACGCCGCGUGAGUGAUGAAGGUCUUCGGAUCGUAAAACUCUGUUAUUAGGGAAGAACAAAUGUGUAAGUAACUAUGCACGUCUUGACGGUACCUAAUCAGAAAGCCACGGCUAACUACGUG